RNAcentral lists this ribosomal RNA (1025 nucleotides) under uncultured organism. RNAcentral describes it as "bacterial SSU rRNA". It matches the Rfam family "Bacterial small subunit ribosomal RNA", at positions 285 to 1341 of the family's 1533-position model. The record is from RNAcentral.
AGCUGGUCUGAGAGGAUGAUCAGCCAGAGGGAGACUGAGACACGGCUCCCACUCCUACGGGAGGCAGCAGUAAAGAAUCUUCCACGAUGGGCGAAAGCCUGAUGGAGCGACACCGCGUGCCAGAUGAAGGCCUUCGGGUUGUAAAUGGCUUUUCUGAGCGAAGAAUUAUGACUGUAACUUAGGAAUAAGCACCGGCUAACUCCGUGCCAGCAGCCGCGGUAAUACGGAGGGUGCAAACGUUACCCGGAAUUAUUGGGCGUAAAGCGUCCGUAGGCGGCGUAGUAAGUCAGAUGUGAAAUCUUGAGGCUCAACUUCAAGUUUGUAUCCGAUACUGCUAUGCUAGAGUCUUGGAGAGGUGAGUGGAAUUCUACAUGUAGGGGUAAAAUCCGUAGAUAUGUAGAGGAACACCAAAAGCGAAGGCAGCUCACUGGCCAAGUACUGACGCUGAUGGACGAAAGCGUGGGGAGCAAACGGGAUUAGAUACCCCGGUAGUCCACGCCGUAAACGAUGAUCACUCGAUGUCGGGGGUUCGACCCUCUCGGUGUCUAAGCUAACGCGAUAAGUGAUCCGCCUGUGGAGUACGGCCGCAAGGCUAAAACAUAAAGGAAUAGACGGGGACCCACACAAGCGGUGGAGCGUGUGGUUUAAUUCGAUAAUAAGCGGGGAACCUUACCCAGGCUUGACAUCUUCUGGAUACACCCGAAAGGGAGUAGUGCCGUAAGGAACAGAAUGACAGGUGCUGCAUGGUUGCCGUCAGCUCGUGCCUUGAGGUGUUCGGUUAAGUCCGUAAACGAGCGCAACCCUUGUCCUUAGUUGUAUUUCUCUAGGGAGACUGCCUGGCAUAACCAGGAGGAAGGUAAGGAUGACGUCAAAUCAGCAUGGCCCUUAUGCCUGGGGCGACACACGCGCUACAAUGGCCAGUACAACGGGCAGCCAAGGAGCAAUCCGGAGCGAAUCCCACAAAACUGGUCUAAGUUCGGAUUGAGGGCUGCAACUCGCCCUUAUGAAGUUGGAAUCGCUAGUAA